AGUGAACGCUGGCGGUAGGCCUAACACAUGCAAGUCGAACGGCAGCACAGUAAGAUCUUGCUCUUACGGGUGGCGAGUGGCGGACGGGUGAGGAAUACAUCGGAAUCUACUUUUUCGUGGGGGAUAACGUAGGGAAACUUACGCUAAUACCGCAUACGACCUACGGGUGAAAGCAGGGGAUCUUCGGACCUUGCGCGAUUGAAUGAGCCGAUGUCGGAUUAGCUAGUUGGCGGGGUAAAGGCCCACCAAGGCGACGAUCCGUAGCUGGUCUGAGAGGAUGAUCAGCCACACUGGAACUGAGACACGGUCCAGACUCCUACGGGAGGCAGCAGUGGGGGAUAUUGGGCAAUGGGCGAAAGCCUGAUCCAGCCAUACCGCGUGGGUGAAGAAGGCCUUCGGGUUGUAAAGCCCUUUUGUUGGGAAAGAAAAGCAGCGGAUUAAUCCCCCGCUGUUCUGACGGUACCCAAAGAAUAAGCACCGGCUAACUUCGUG
Molecule: ribosomal RNA, 492 nt
Filed under: uncultured bacterium
Lineage: Bacteria
Description: partial 16S ribosomal RNA
Rfam family: Bacterial small subunit ribosomal RNA
Source: RNAcentral